CCGUGAGCCGAGAUCACGCCACUGUGCUCCAGCCUGGGUGACAGAGUGAGACUCCGUCGCGAAAAAAAAAAAAAGAUAAAGGAGGAGAGGGUUUUUUUUUUCCAUUUUAUGAAUCUUGACAAAGCAGAUUCUGAUAGAUAGGAAGAAGCAAAAGGAGCUCUUCCCUGCUCUGAGGUAUAUGAUACUAAACUGCCUUAGAUUUGCUCAGCUAGUUUAUUGUCUGAGAAUGCCGUACAAUGAUUUGGUGCCCCUCUUGAGAUCCCAGGGUGAAUAGAGAAGUUGAAAGGAUGUGUUCAGGGAGACAAGUAAUAAAUAGGCUUUUUUUUUUUUGGUCUAGGUGUGGGAAUGUCAAAACUAUCAUCACUUGCUUUCAGCAGCCCUGGUGUGUUGUUUCAUGUCAGUGACAGAUAUUCUGGAAUGCAUUUGAUUUGUGCAAAGAUGUUUCUCAACUUUGACUACUAGGAAUUAAUGUUUAACUUUGUCCUUUUCUAAAGAGAGUUAUUUGUAAGGCAGGAUUGGCCUUCAAUACCUUAAGAGGCAAAAAAUUGGUGUCAAGAAAAGUUCUAACUAAGAGCAUGAAAACUGGGGAAAGCAAAUGUUCUUAAGGUGAUUUUUAUAUGCUUGGCAUUGAAUUUUCCUUUUCCUCAAAAUACAAGUAUUCCAUAUUCAUUUCAGUGUAAUUUAGAACAAAAAUGGUAUUAUCUGUGUAAGAAUUGUUAUUGUCAGUCAAGUACUGAAAGUUCAAUAAUAGGCCCUUAAAAGGCAUUAUGUCAAGCAGGAGGCAAAUGUAUGGUAAGGAUCUCAGAAUUGCUUCACUGGAGUUGUUAUUUGAAAUUUCCAAAAGGAUAACACCAUCAAAACACUGCCUUAGGCUGCUUCUAGGAGGAAACUUCAACUUAUUCACUUAACUUUAGACACUUUUUGGAAGGUUGUGUCAAGUGUGAGUAUUUUGUGAUCCUUUCUCCCCUCACCCUCCUCCUCUUUACAUCCAUAUUUUCAGAAACAAACACAGUUAUCCUUGGAAAACAUAAUUUUUCUUCUUACAUAUUUUCUUAUUGAUGUACUGGAAAUUAUGAUUUUUGACCCGAGUCUACCUUAAAAUAUUUGGCAUUCACGGUUCCACUACACUGAACUUCAUUCACCUAAAUGUACUUUAUUACAUUCGGCAAAACUUAAAAGAUUUAUCUUGUUUUGGAAAAUUAAAUGAGAUAACUGCAUGUGAAGUACUAAUACUGUGCACAGAAUAAGCUUUUAAGGAAUGAUGGCAGCAGUUGUACUUAUAAGACAUAGAGUCAUAUAAAUUCAGUACUUUCUCUAAAUAACCUUCCAUUUUUAUAUUUGUGUAAUCAUGUCUUUUUCUUUGGAAGUUGGAUGCAAAUCAACUUAUACAAAACUUUCCAAAGUUUCACUUGUUUUACAUACAACCUUCAUGAUGUUUCCCAUGUUUUUCUAUAACUGUACUAUAAAUUACUAAACAUUUUUCUUUAAAGCAGACUGAUUUUAAGUUGAAUUUGCUCAAAAGAAAUAGUAUCUCAUUACUUUCAAUGGAAAACCAGUAUCAUUUGCCAUAAAUACAAAAUGACUAUGAGCAAAAGUUCAUAAAGCAAAGGAACAAAAUUCUGCCAAGAUACUAUUAUCUACCAAGAGUCAAAACUGUAGGUCUGCACCCUGCUCUCUGUUAGAAAGGGAGAAUCACAAAUGUUAGAAUAGUGUUAAAAACUCCAUGGAAACUUUUCUGGGCUUAAAGGAACUGAAUGGCAUUUUCAUACCUUUCUAAUGCUGUGAUUUAAUAUUUCCUGGUGCCUUGUCAGUGCCACCUGAAAUCAUGAUCUUAUGAUGUGCUUCCUCUUUGGAAAAAACUCUAAAAUAGUAACACUAAAAUCAAGAACAUUUUGUUUAUAGGACUCCUUUUUUUAAGAUGUGAAAGCCAGCCAGUCAAUUCCUGUUCUUAAGUAUAUUCUUAGCUAGGGAGGUUGCUUAAGAUUUUGUUUAUAAGACUUUCACUAAAAUCAGAAUUGGGUCAUCGCACCCAGUGCUUUAGUUUUGGAAAUCUGAGUUUGAAAUAAAGGAUAAAUGACAUAAAUUAAUGGAGUAAAAUUAAUGUUGUGAUAAUAUUAAAUAAAGCUAAUGCCUUUUGCACCUGGAGGGCUAUGCAGAUGGCAGGCAUACCUAAUUAUGCACCCUGCUUGCCUUUAAGUAUACUGAUAGAAAUCUCUCAACUGAGUAUAAAAUAUGUUCAUUCACUGGCUCCAGAAAAGUUUGAGUAAGGCAACACAAUCCACAAAAAGCCUAACAUGCUUAUUUUUUAGUGGAAAGAAAUACAAUUCUAUAAGUUAAAAUGAAAUAAUUGAAUACUUAUUUUUAAAACAAGUUAUUACUACUGUUGGAUUUGUUCUUUCUGUGAAUAUCAAAAUAUAUGCCUGUCAUUCCCAUUAGAAAAAGAUGAUUCUCAAACUAGCAAGGAAGUACUUAAAUGUAAGUUUAUAUUUUUACAGACUGCACACAAAGAGAAUAAUUUACUAGUGGAAUUCUAAAUAAAUUGAUUUGCUUUCUUUACGUAUAAAUCGGAUUGGUUAAUCAUUGCUGAGAUAUUUAUAAACUUGUUCAAUUCUUUAAGAUGUAACUUCUCUAGAAAAUAUUUUGCUUUAGUUAAAAAUGUAGAUAUUUUGCUACAGAUAUUUCAGAAACGUGACUGAGCUUUAAAAACCUUACUAUGAGUUCUCUUCACUUAAGGAAUGUAUUCCCAUGAACUUCAUUUUGUUGCAUUUGGAUACCUAUGCAAUUAAAAGUAUAACCAGCAACUACUGCUGUUAGCUUCAGAAUGAUUUUUAAAAUCCUAUUUCUAAUAUUUGUUACACUUUCCUAUUACAUUUCUUAUAAAUACACAUGUAUUUAUUACCUACAUUUUUAAAAAUAAAG
RNAcentral lists this long non-coding RNA (2919 nucleotides) under Homo sapiens (human). RNAcentral's name for it is "HSALNT0146777". The record is from RNAcentral. Lineage: Eukaryota; Metazoa; Chordata; Mammalia; Primates; Hominidae.